Callithrix jacchus (white-tufted-ear marmoset) is the source of this 204-nucleotide small nucleolar RNA. Its record names the gene U3. It matches the Rfam family "Small nucleolar RNA U3". Rfam says of the family: Small nucleolar RNAs (snoRNAs) are involved in the processing and modification of rRNA in the nucleolus. There are two main classes of snoRNAs: the box C/D class, and the box H/ACA class. U3 snoRNA is a member of the box C/D class. Lineage: Eukaryota; Metazoa; Chordata; Mammalia; Primates; Cebidae. The record is from Ensembl.
AAGACUAUACUUUCAGGGAUCAUUUCUAUAGUGUGUUACUAGAGAAGUUUCUCUGAAUGUGUAGAGCACCGGAAACUACGAGAAGGAGGUGCAGUGUUCUCUCCUGAGCGUGAAGUUGGCUCUUGGUGUUGCAUUAGUGCAACUGUCAUUUGCCGUUGAUGAUUGUUCUUCUCUUCCUUUGGGAGAGAACGCAGUCUGAGUGGU